Molecule: long non-coding RNA, 378 nt
Organism: Micropterus dolomieu (smallmouth bass)
Lineage: Eukaryota; Metazoa; Chordata; Actinopteri; Centrarchiformes; Centrarchidae
Exons: 3
Source: RefSeq, a predicted model, not a curated record
GUAGACUCUGUUUGUUUGUUGUUUUCAGGGACGGAGCUUAAACCCUGCAGUGAGUCCAGAAAGCAGUCAGGACACGGCUGAUCCUGAAGAUGGUGUUUCCUACGCCUCCAUCAGCUACACCAGGAAGACCAACAGUAAAGGCCGGGUUCUGGGUAAAGAUGGUGAUGAUGAAGAUGAUGCAGUGACCUACAUCACCGUGAAAGCUUCCUCUUCUUCUGCUGGAGCCUCAGCUGAUCCCAGCGACCUCUACGCGACCGUCAACUAACCAAACAAAUAAAAGACCACAGUGUAGUUAUAGCUCAUAUUACAGUUUAUUUACACUGAUAACUGAUCAAUGUUUUUUUAGACUUAUUUUAUGAUCAUUUUCAGGAUUUAUUG